GUAACGCGUACGAAACCUACCUUUAAGAGAGGGAUAGCCCUGGGAAACUGGGAGUAAUACCUCAUAGUAUUCAUUGACUGCAUGGUUGAUGGAUUAAAGCUGCGGCGCUUAAAGAUGGUCGUGCGUCUGAUUAGCUAGUUGGUAGGGUAACGGCCUACCAAGGCUACGAUCAGUAGGGGGCGUGAGAGCGUGGCCCCCCACACGGGUACUGAGACACGGACCCGACUCCUACGGGAGGCAGCAGUAAGGAAUAUUGGGCAAUGGACGCAAGUCUGACCCAGCCAUCCCGCGUGCAGGACGAAUGCCCUAUGGGUUGUAAACUGCUUUUGUUUGGGAAGAAAUGUAUUCUUUUAAGAGUAUUUGACGGUACCAGACGAAUAAGCACCGGCUAACUCCGUGCCAGCAGCCGCGGUAAUACGGAGGGUGCAAGCGUUAUCCGGAAUCACUGGGUUUAAAGGGUGCGUAGGCGGCCAGAUAAGUCAGAGGUGAAAGUUUCCGGCUCAACCGGGAGAUUGCCUUUGAUACUGUUUGGCUUGAAUCAGAUUGAGGUUGGCGGAAUGUGACAUGUAGCGGUGAAAUGCAUAGAUAUGUCAUAGAACAUCGAUUGCGAAGGCAGCUGGCUGGAUCUGUAUUGACGCUGAGGCA
RNAcentral lists this ribosomal RNA (645 nucleotides) under uncultured bacterium. Its description in RNAcentral is "bacterial SSU rRNA". It matches the Rfam family "Bacterial small subunit ribosomal RNA", at positions 110 to 753 of the family's 1533-position model. The record is from RNAcentral.